RNAcentral lists this ribosomal RNA (253 nucleotides) under uncultured Sphingomonas sp. RNAcentral's name for it is "partial 16S ribosomal RNA". It matches the Rfam family "Bacterial small subunit ribosomal RNA", at positions 524 to 776 of the family's 1533-position model. The record is from RNAcentral. Lineage: Bacteria; Pseudomonadati; Pseudomonadota; Alphaproteobacteria; Sphingomonadales; Sphingomonadaceae.
UACGGAGGGGGCUAGCGUUGUUCGGAAUUACUGGGCGUAAAGCGCACGUAGGCGGCUUUGUAAGUUAGAGGUGAAAGCCCGGAGCUCAACUCCGGAACUGCCUUUAAGACUGCAUCGCUUGAAUCAUGGAGAGGUUAGUGGAAUUCCGAGUGUAGAGGUGAAAUUCGUAGAUAUUCGGAAGAACACCAGUGGCGAAGGCGACUAACUGGACAUGUAUUGACGCUGAGGUGCGAAAGCGUGGGGAGCAAACAGG